Molecule: long non-coding RNA, 2852 nt
Organism: Corapipo altera (White-ruffed manakin)
Lineage: Eukaryota; Metazoa; Chordata; Aves; Passeriformes; Pipridae
Exons: 7
Source: RefSeq, a predicted model, not a curated record
UUCCAUAGAGAGGCCUCCGGGUGUCACAUGAUGGACAUGAUAUAACGAAACAACAUCGUGGGGAGGAAGGGAGGGAAGCAGUGGGGGAGCCCGGGGAGGCGGCGGGGUAGGCGGUGGUGCCCCCCGACCCGCCCGCCCCGGCUGCACCUGUCUCGGCGCGCCGGGAGCGCGGUGUCCGCCCCGCUGAUGGGGCUGCGGGCGGCACCUUCCCCCGGGGAGCGGACGACGAGGAGGAGGAGAAGGAGGAGAAGGAGCGCCGGUGGCGGAGGUUUUCAUGACUGUUCUGAUUCCUGUUGCUGCAGCCAGCGUGGAUCCGGAUGCCGUGGCUACAGAGGCUUGUUACUUUCUCAUGCUGGAUCCCUCAAAUCCAAGAGCUACUUGGCAGUUUCCAAGGCAACCACCUGUGGAAUAAUUAAAAAGGAUGAAGUGUUAGCCUGCCAGAUAUAAGGAAUCCUUGCCUGGAGAGAGCAUUUCACUUUCGUCUGCCUUGAAGAAUCAAAUGUGCUUCUGCCAGCAGAGUUAAGAAAAAGGAACGGUGGCUGAGUUGUACAAGUGAACCAGGACAAUCCAAAACGUGACUCAAAGCAGGAGGGAGCAGAUGGCAGCAUCGUUAGCUGGUGGCCACAGCCUUCCCAGAUGAGUUUUGGAAUUUCCAUCAAAGUCGGGAUUAGGCUCAGGAUAUGCCGGUGGCACAGAGCACGCCGGGGGAGCGUGGAAGAAGAGGAAAUCAUUCAUAGCGACUCAUCUCGUGGUUGGGUGCUGAUCUCACAAAGGUGUCCUGCAUAUGCCAAAGGACGAACAUGUUGUUUGAGGGGAAAAGCUGUUCAUAAAUCUCUGCAAACUGAAAGAUUCUGAAGACAAACCUGUCAGUAGUGAAUUGUCCCAGAAGCACAUGGAGAAAGUUGUACAUGGUGGAGGCUGUUUUUUUUCUGAGGCUGAAACUCAUCUCAACUCCUCAUGACCAACUGAGCAAGAGAGAUGGGAUUUGAUGCUAUCCAAGGUGUAAUUCCACAGUUCAUGUCUUUUGCUACUGCCAGCUUAAUAAGUUUCUGCCCACUCCCAGCCAUUCAUUUCCAGCGCAGCAGCAAUGCAGUGCCAUCUCUUCCCUGACCGUGCGGAAAACCAGAUGGCUGAAAAUAACUCAGUCAAGAAAAGAAACCCUAUAUUUUAUUUUUUUCGUUUGAAUUAGAAUCAUUUGAAUGAUGCCCACGGGCAGUCGUAUUGGUACAACUGAAGGUGACAUGAACUGCAGCAUCAGAGGCAGCAGUGAGCACUGGAGGGUGUCCCAAUGCUAAGUGAUCUUGCUGUCAACAAAAAUCUACUCUGGGACCAUAUCCUGGAUGAAGGGGUUUCACUAGCCACAGGAUUAUUUAUUGAACUGCUGCUUUUCAUUUAUUUUAUUAAGGAAGAUUAACAUCUUCUUGUUUGGGCAGGUUUAUUUUUUUUUACUUGAGGAGAUAAACCAUCUCUGUGAGAAGUCAGUCAGCUUUGUGGACAGCCAUGAAUGUCAAUAAAGUCUUGGCAAACACAGUAGGCAUUUAUUCAGCCUUGCAAAUUAAAAACAUUUUUCCUGCUUGUUUAGUGAAGGGAACAAAAAAAGACAAAUUACAUAGCGGAUGAGCUCUCUUGAUAGUUGGAAUUCAUUAAGCUGGUGGUGAAAACGCUGGGGGAUUGAUGGUGCAGAAAAAGAAAAGAUGAAGCAGCUUUUCCCCAAUAGCUGUGGUUUAAGUUCAAGUUGAAAAUGACCAAAAAAAAAAAAAAUCCCUUAAAGACAUCUGUAACUGACUUCACAGUCUCAGUUUCUAUCUGGGUAGACAGUUCUUUUCUCACUGCAGUUAAUAUUAAUUGGUUUUUCAGCUGACAGAUAAUUUCUCAGUGGUUCCUUCAUCUCCAUCAUGCCAUGGGGUGUCUGCAGCAGCUCAUAAAUGAGAUCCACGGCGAGGCGUUAAGUAGGAAGUUCUCACAGUCCCUUCCCCUGCUACAGACAGAGCCUUUCUGCAGACUUGUCACUCUGUCAUCUUCCCCCUGGUUUCACGUUUUAUUAAAAAAAAAAAAAAAAUAAAUGGGGGGAAUUUAAAAAGUUACAGUAAGUUGAACAGUUUGUCAUAUGUAAUGUUCUCACAGGCCAUUGUCUGCAAAUUACAGGCUGGCUCGGUCUUUCAGAUGGAUCAUAAAGCUGUCCUAAGUCAAGCUCUCACAAAAUCCAUUUACACAGCUCCUGUUGUGGCAGGGCACGGAAAGGAAGCAGUAGGACUUAUUUUUUAAUGAAUUUCCUGUGCAGGAUCAUUAGUCCACAUGGAAGUCUUUCCAAGUCGCACCCAGUGCAUGUUCUCUCUGAUUAUCCCUGAUUAAUCUGAUAAAGUGCCCACAGUUGUCAUUUGCAGUCUCAGAUGGGAUCACAGUUCUCAAAUUAUUCCAAGUGCAGAAAUUCUGCAGGAAUUCAUCAGUGGAAGAGAGAGGGUUCCCUCAUAGGUGUUUGAAUGCAGCUUAAACCACCUGUAAAUCAGUACAUUUACUCAGCAGCAAAACAAAACCAUUGUAAACUUUAUUCUUGCAGUGCUUUAAUUGCAGAUAAAGCUUUGCUCAUGCAAGUCAUCCCAUCAAUGUCAAAUAAAAACAUGAAUUAUGAAGUAUUUAAGAUUAGGGCUUAAGUCACUGGCAUGUCAUUCUCUUAAUUUUCUCUGGAGGAUUACAGAACACUUAAUUUGUAAUUACAGAAACAAAAAUGUAAUCAAAUGCUCUUCCAGCUACAGGUUUUACCAAUUUACAGUGAAUUCUGGGUUUGCUCUUCCUAUUUCCCAAGCUCUUGCUUUUAAAUCUAAAAAAAUUAACUCCUCUGUUCUUCUUCUUCU